UCACCACACAGCAGAGCGUGUGUCGCCAAGUGUGUGCAUGUGUGUAUUUGCACCACUGAAUUCUGAACGUCCACCGCACCGCACCACACAGCGUGUAUCGCCAAGUGCGUGGCUGUGUGUUGUAUCACCGUGGUGUGGCCAAAUGUGUGCAUGUGUGUACUUGCUCCACUGAAAGCCGGUAUCGCAGCAGAUUUCGGGUGUCGCCUUGUGCGUGUGUGUGUUAUUGUCACAGCACACUCCCAAGUAGCAACCGAAGCUUUUUUCUCCCAGUUUCAACCCCCUCAUGUCCACAAACUGCCUUCGCUUACUAUUCCUAUCCCGUUUCUACAUUCCACAACGUUUGUUGCGUUCUCGCUCAUCAGGGUGUUAGUCAAUUCUCUCUUGCCACACGAAGAGAAUUCUCCUGCACACUUCGUGUGUUGGAUUCUACCCAUCCCUGUUGAACACACGUCAUUUUCUUCCAUCGCACUCAUCAGGGUGUUUGCUCUUUUCCAUCCAAGCCAAAGAGCGACUUCAGUGUGCUCUGAACCGUGGACGUGAGAGUGUGUGUUUGUGUGCUGCGUGAACUAUUUUUCCUGCGUGAAACACUUUCCAUACUGCGCCAUCCGCGGUGUUCUUUCUGCUUCAUCGGAGGACGAAUUUUUAUCAUCUAAUUGUUUGGUUUCAGAUGUGUGCUGCUACCGCUAGCUGUUCCUCAAACUACUUAAAAAGUGUGACACUGUGUGCACAGGCGUUCAAGUUUCAAUUGAUCCUCAAGCACAAAGCCUUCAUACAACACCGCGGUUGAGGCGCGCCAAAUCUGAUGACAUCUUUCCUGAACCAAGCAGGCUGAACACGCGCACCACCACGGGCUUCAGCGCGGUGUGAAGAGGGAAGAAGAAAAGGCAGAAUUGGAAACAGCCGCACCAGGCUUCCAACUACCGUGUGUGUGUGUGUAUGUAAGUAUGUGAGAACACAUGUGUGAAUCCUCUUGUGGGAACUGCAAAAAGAAGAGAAUAAAGAGUGUGAAGCAGCUAGACUGCCGCAACCAAAUCAAGAGAGUGAAUUCUCAUUUCAAUCCGAAAAACUGGGAGAGAGUGAUGACAUGCGAGAGAGAAUAAAACUAGAAACACAACCCUCUCAACAAUCUCAGAGAGAAUUUGUAUGAAAUUUCUUGGGCUUGUUCUCGGCUUGUUCUCGGCUUAUUGGUAUUAACGUCACUCAGAGAACAAGCCCAAUAUGAACAGGCGCUCAGUGACGUCACGGUGUAGCCGUAUUGAUGCGAGUCCACACAAUGGGGGUCGACCCAUUCCAACUGCUGUCAAAAUGAAACAACAAAGGUAUUUGGUUUGCAUGCGUUUUAUUGAACAAUAACAAGUCGACAAGUGGCGUCGUUUUGAGUAACUAAAAAUCAGUUCCGGAUUUACGUUUUUUCCUAUUCCAGCUCGUAUUAGUUAGUGAAAUAGUUGUUCGGCUUCCGGUAAAUCUGUAAGUGAAGGAAUCAAAGCGUUAAUACAUCGAAAUCAUAA
Long non-coding RNA from Anopheles coluzzii, 1508 nucleotides. RefSeq lists it as uncharacterized. The transcript has 3 exons. The record is from RefSeq and is a predicted model, not a curated record. NCBI's taxonomy places the organism in Eukaryota, Metazoa, Arthropoda, Insecta, Diptera, Culicidae.